RNAcentral lists this ribosomal RNA (433 nucleotides) under uncultured bacterium. RNAcentral describes it as "partial 16S ribosomal RNA". It matches the Rfam family "Bacterial small subunit ribosomal RNA", at positions 29 to 507 of the family's 1533-position model. The record is from RNAcentral.
AACGAACGCUGGCGGCAUGCCUAACACAUGCAAGUCGAACGAGACCGGCGGGUCUAGGGGCGCACGGGGGCGUAACGCGUGGGAACCUGCCCUUAGGUUCGGAAUAACGCCCCGAAAGGGGUGCUAAUACCGGAUAAGGUCUGCGGACCAAAGAUUUAUCGCCGUUGGAUGGGCCCGCGUUGGAUUAGCUAGUUGGGAGGGUAAAAGCCUACCAAGGCGACGAUCCAUAGCUGGUCUGAGAGGAUGAUCAGCCACACUGGGACUGCGACACGGCCCAGACUCCUACGGGAGGCAGCAGUGGGGAAUAUUGGACUCUGGGCGAAAGCCUGAUCCUGCAAUGCCGCGUGAGUGAUGAAGGCCUUAGGGUUGUAAAGCUCUUUUACCCGGGAUGAUAAUGACAGUACCGGGAGAAUAAGCUCCGGCUAACUCCGUG